RNAcentral lists this long non-coding RNA (621 nucleotides) under Mytilus galloprovincialis (Mediterranean mussel). Lineage: Eukaryota; Metazoa; Mollusca; Bivalvia; Mytilida; Mytilidae. The record is from RNAcentral.
GUGAAACUAUGGAGAUAUUAAACAGAAUACAGAUUAUUGAAAGGUACAGAUUAAAGACAAUUCUAACAUGCUUAUUUUCCUUUAAGCUUAACUAUUCAUUCCUUAUAAUUUUGAUUCGCUAUGUAUUUGCAUUGAGGUAUCGCAGAUAUUAUUUAUUCGUUCAUAGUGUGUUAAUUUGUGUUUUUUUUUAUUGAGUUUAGCCUUACAAUUGAUACUUAACAGUGUGUUUAAAUUGUGAUGUUAUACUAUUAUCUAAGAAAAAGGAGAAGGUUUGGUACCAUUAAAAAGAUUUAUCCCGCUGCAAAUGUUUGCAUCUAUCCUAAGUCAGGAAUCUGAUGUACCGCAGUUGUCGUUUUUUUAUGUAAUAUACACGUGUCUCUCGUUUCUCGUUUUUUUAAUAGAUUAGACCAUUGGUUUGCCGUUUGACUGGUGUUACCCUAGUAUUUUUUGGGCCCUUUAUAUCUUGUUGUUUGGCAUGAUUCAAGGCUCUGUGUUGAAAGCCGUACCUUGACUUAUAAUGAUUUACUUAAAUAAACUGUUUUUUGGAUGGAGAAUUGUUUCAUUGGCACUCAUAUCACAUCUUCAUAUAUCUAGUUCAUUAAAAUGUAUAGCCGAUUAAAA